RNAcentral lists this ribosomal RNA (428 nucleotides) under uncultured fungus. RNAcentral describes it as "eukaryotic LSU rRNA". It matches the Rfam family "Eukaryotic large subunit ribosomal RNA", at positions 1 to 420 of the family's 3401-position model. Lineage: Eukaryota; Fungi. The record is from RNAcentral.
UUGAUCUCAAAUCAGGUAGGACUACCCGCUGAACUUAAGCAUAUCAAUAAGCGGAGGAAAAGAAACUAACAAGGAUUCCCCUAGUAACUGCGAGUGAAGCGGGAAGAGCUCAAAUUUAAAAUCUGGCGUGCCUCUGGUCGUCCGAGUUGUAGUCUGGAGAAGUGUUUUCCGUGUUGGACCGUGUACAAGUCUCUUGGAACAGGGCGUCAUAGAGGGUGAGAAUCCCGUCUUUGACACGGACUACCAAUGCUUUGUGAUGCGCUCUCAAAGAGUCGAGUUGUUUGGGAAUGCAGCUCAAAAUGGGUGGUAAAUUCCAUCUAAAGCUAAAUAUAGGCGAGAGACCGAUAGCGAACAAGUACCGUGAGGGAAAGAUGAAAAGCACUUUGGAAAGAGAGUUAAACAGUACGUGAAAUUGCUGAAAGGGAAAC